Oncorhynchus tshawytscha (Chinook salmon) is the source of this 1726-nucleotide long non-coding RNA. Lineage: Eukaryota; Metazoa; Chordata; Actinopteri; Salmoniformes; Salmonidae. The record is from Ensembl.
ACAUGUAGAAAAAAAUAACAUGGCUAUAUACAGGGAGUAGAGAAUAACAUGGUUAUAUACAGGGAGUAGAAAAUAACAUGGUUAUAUACAGGAAGUAGAAAAUAGCAUGGCUAUAUACAGAGAGUAGAAAAUAACAUGGCUACAGUGGUUCUUCCUUUAAAAGUUGCAUUGUACUGCCACACAGCUUGAGGGCUGCUGCGGAUUGCACGUUAUUUAAGUGUCAGCCAUUGUUGCCAUUAAGGCUAGUUAGUAUUAAUGCUAGUUAAUACUAGUUUGACCACCAGAGGGAAUGUUUGAGAAGCAUUUGACUGUAUUAAUAUUGGCUGGACUAGAGAUUUUUUUUUGUAAGAACAUAGUAUAUGUGAUUGAUUUAGCUUAAACCAUUUGAUUAAUAUUAUGGUGUUUCUAUUCCAAGAAAAAUUUAAAACGAAACCCUCAGGGUUUCCAUUAGGAAAAUAUGGCACUGUACAACGCUGUACUAAGUGACUGCGAGUGAAGAGGAAAAUAAUCCUAACAUUUCUACACCCUAAUUGUAGGCUAACCAAUACCCAAAUGGAGAUUCAGUGAAAAUUAAAAUCUCAUUGAUUUCCCAAUACGAGUCCCCAUGCUCAGAGCAGCACAAAACGGUGCUGAAAUAGUUGACCACACGCGGGUAUAGCCAUGUUCAAAUCCUAUCAUAACAAUUGGAUGACUUUGUUCCAGUAAGAAACCAUUUGUUGCCUUCAUUAGACUACUUUAUUCUGAAAAAUUCAUCUGUAAAUCUGCCAAGCCUAUAAACAAAGAUGAACUGGUGAAGGCCAUCAAGACAUUUUGGCUUGAGAAACUUGACGAUACAACAAUGCAACAAAUACAUUGAUCAUUUCAGCAAGGUUUUGCCAGUGGUCAUGGAUCUGGGGGGAAGUGCAACUAAAAUGUAGCUGAGAUGUACUGUACAGUAGUGGAAAUAAACAUCUGUAUUUUAAAAGUAUUUUUUAUUGUUAUUUUAUUAACGAAAGCAUAAAGAUGUUGAUGAACAUAUACUGUGUUAAACUUUAGAGUACUUAAGCAUCGAAUACAUUGCAAGUUGGGUGGAUUUUCACACCUACAGUGGCCGGGCUAUUAAACUAAUCGUGGAUAAUAGAUCGGCUCUCGGAACUCAUUAAGAGGCUGCUUCUUUCUUCAAUAUGCUUUAAAUGUCACAAAUAAUUGAACCCAACAUGAGCAGAUGAACUUGGUCAAAACAUGUAUUUAUUAAAGACCGUCAGAAAGAAUGUUGUCUUAUUUGUUUUGAUUCCAAAACCUUUUACGAGUGAAUAAUAAUACAAUAGUAAUUGGUAUGACACGGCUCUUGGAACUCAUUAAGAGGCGGCUUCUAUAUGAAAAUACUUGCAGAUCAAUUCAUUCUAAAUUAAUAUACAAGGGGUUGUCACGCCCUGACCGUAGAGAGCUUUUUAUGUGUCUAUUUUUAAGUUGGUCAGGGUGUGAUUUGGGUGGCAUUCUAUGCUCUUUUUCUAUGUGUUUGUAUUUCUUUGUUUUGGCCUGGUAUGGUUCUCAAUCAGGGACAGCUGUCGAUCGUUGUCUCUGAUUGAGAACCAUACUUAGGUAGCUUUUCCCCACAGGGUUUUUGUGGGUAGUUGUUUUCCGUAUCAGUGUUUGCAUCUUAUGGGACUUUUUUAUUUUAUUUAUUCUCUUGUUAUUUUUGUAUUUAGUGUUCAGUUCAAUAAAUAAUAUGAACACUUACCACGCU